AAUCCUAUAGGAUCCUAUAGGAAUUCCUAUAGGAAUUCCUAUAGGAAUUCCUAUAGGAAUUCCUAUAGGAUCCUAUAGGAAUA
Non-coding RNA from Paramuricea clavata, 83 nucleotides. Lineage: Eukaryota; Metazoa; Cnidaria; Anthozoa; Malacalcyonacea; Plexauridae. The record is from the annotation of a GenBank genome assembly.